This 224-nucleotide non-coding RNA is filed under the name unidentified. Its description in RNAcentral is "Listeriaceae bacterium T-box sequence". It matches the Rfam family "T-box leader". From Rfam's summary of the family: Uncharged tRNA acts as the effector for transcription antitermination of genes in the T-box leader family. T-boxes are found upstream of many aminoacyl-tRNA synthetase genes and some amino acid biosynthetic genes usually in Gram-positive bacteria. The anticodon of a specific tRNA base pairs to a specifier sequence within the T-box motif, and the NCCA acceptor tail of the tRNA base pairs to a conserved bulge in the T-box antiterminator hairpin. The record is from RNAcentral.
AAACAAGUAUUGAUAAGGACAACAUUUUAUUCGAGUCUGAUUCACAGAGAAGGAGGCAUUGCUGCGAACCUCCCAAUUAGCCAAUAAAGUGACCCCCUUUGAACUUUCCAUUCGAAAUUUGAGUAGUUUGGAACGGAUCACACCGUUAUAUGUGACAAGAGUAGAACUUUUUUAUCGUUCUUAAAUCUUGGGUGGAACCACGUGUUGAAAGACUCGUCCCUUGC